This is a non-coding RNA of Vicia faba (fava bean), 363 nucleotides long. The record is from the annotation of a GenBank genome assembly. Lineage: Eukaryota; Viridiplantae; Streptophyta; Magnoliopsida; Fabales; Fabaceae.
AUGGACAUACUCAGUACUACCCUUUUCCACGAUACACAAUUCCAUCAACCAAUUUUUACCACUUUGCACCAACUUCAUCACAUAGCAUCAGCACCAUCUCUAAAAGAUGAAACCAAAACUCUUGGAUUCAAACUCAACAACACAAACUUACUACACAAAUCAAUAAACCACAAGACUUUUCAUCCAAACUUUUUCAAAACCUUUAUACAAACCCAAACACAAAACAAAUCACAUAACAAACAUUCCAACAACAUCAAUUCAAAUUCUGAAAAAAAAGGGAUGACAACAUUAAUUCAAGAAUUGAAAACAAAGUGGAAUUCUGAAAAAGGAAGAAGGAGAUCGAAAGAAAUUGCGUCACACUGA